RNAcentral lists this transfer RNA (73 nucleotides) under Paucilactobacillus hokkaidonensis JCM 18461. RNAcentral describes it as "tRNA-Thr (TGT) (tRNA-Thr-TGT-1-1, tRNA-Thr-TGT-1-2)". It matches the Rfam family "tRNA". From Rfam's summary of the family: Transfer RNA (tRNA) molecules are approximately 80 nucleotides in length. Their secondary structure includes four short double-helical elements and three loops (D, anti-codon, and T loops). The record is from RNAcentral. RNAcentral also lists the same sequence under 1 other name. Lineage: Bacteria; Bacillati; Bacillota; Bacilli; Lactobacillales; Lactobacillaceae.
GCCGACUUAGCUCAGUUGGCAGAGCAUCUGUUUUGUAAACAGGAGGUCGAAGGUUCGAAUCCUUUAGUCGGCA